RNAcentral lists this ribosomal RNA (200 nucleotides) under uncultured prokaryote. Its description in RNAcentral is "partial 16S ribosomal RNA". It matches the Rfam family "Bacterial small subunit ribosomal RNA", at positions 524 to 728 of the family's 1533-position model. The record is from RNAcentral.
UACAGGAAGGACGAGCGUUAUUCAUCAUUAUUAGGUGUAAAAAGUGCGUAGGUAUGCUGUUGUUUUCGAUUUUUUUAAAGGCUAAUAGCCGUGCAAAAAUUGUAACGCAGCGAACGAGUGCAGUGGAGGUUGGUGUAAUUGCUAAGGGAGAGGUGAAAUUCUAGGAGAUUAGUAGGAAAGCUAAAAGCGAAGGCUAUUUU